Molecule: ribosomal RNA, 419 nt
Filed under: uncultured bacterium
Lineage: Bacteria
Description: bacterial SSU rRNA
Rfam family: Bacterial small subunit ribosomal RNA
Source: RNAcentral
UGAGGAAUAUUGCGCAAUGGGCGAAAGCCUGACGCAGCAACGCCGCGUGGAUGAUGAAGUUCUUCGGAAUGUAAAAUCCUUUUGCAGGGGACGAAUAUGCUGGCUUGCCAGUACUGACGGUACCUUGCGAAUAAGCCACGGCUAACUCUGUGCCAGCAGCCGCGGUGAUACAGGGGUGGCAAGCGUUGUCCGGAUUUACUGGGUGCAAAGGGUGCGCAGGCGGAUGGGUAAGUCAGGGGUGAAAGUCUGCAGCUUAACUGUAGAAUUGCCUUUGAUACUGCUCAUCUUGAGUGUGGGAGAGGUUGAUGGAAUUCCAGGUGUAGCAGUGAAAUGCGUAGAUAUCUGGAAGAACACCAGUGGCGAAGGCGGUCAACUGACCCAUAACUGACGCUCAUGCACGAAAGCGUGGGGAGCAAACA